Molecule: long non-coding RNA, 387 nt
Filed under: Zea mays
Lineage: Eukaryota; Viridiplantae; Streptophyta; Magnoliopsida; Poales; Poaceae
Description: long non-coding RNA (ZMAY_LNC003962)
Source: RNAcentral
AAGGUGUGUUCUUGCUGUUUUGCAUUUCUUACCUUACUUUUAUUCUUAGAGAUCUGAGAACAAUCGCUGCUUUUAUUGCAAUAUCAAACAUGAUUCUCUUAGUCUGAUUUUUGGACAUAAAAAAGCAAAACAAUCUUUACCUUCUCAAGUUGGCUGGCUCCUGCUGAUCUCAGUUUUGGAAUCCCAUUAGGUUAUGAGGAUGAAAGGUCAGUGCUUAUGUCCCAGAGGAAAUUGGAGAAACGCUUUGGUCAGUCUCCAAUCUUCAUUGCAUCCACCUUUAUGACUCAAGGUGGCAUACCACCUUCAACAAACCCAGCUUCUCUACUGAAGGAAGCUAUCCAUGUUAUCAGCUGUGGGUACGAGGACAAAACUGAAUGGGGAAAAGAG